AACGAACGCUGGCGGCAUGCCUCACACAUGCAAGUCGAACGAGACCUCCGGGUCUAGUGGCGCACGGGUGCGUAACGCGUGGGAAUCUACCCUUGGGUUCGGAAUAACAGUUAGAAAUGACUGCUAAUACCGGAUGAUGACGUAAGUCCAAAGAUUUAUCGCCCAAGGAUGAGCCCGCGUAAGAUUAGCUUGUUGGUGGGGUAAUGGCCUACCAAGGCGACGAUCUUUAGCUGGUCUGAGAGGAUGAUCGGCCACACUGGGACUGAGACACGGCCCAGACUCCUACGGGAGGCAGCAGUGGGGAAUAUUGGACAAUGGGCGUAACCCUGAUCCAGCAAUGCCGCGUGAGUGAUGAAGGCCUUAGGGUUGUAAAGCUCUUUUACCAGGGAUGAUAAUGACAGUACCUGGAGAAUAAGCUCCGGCUAACUCCGUGCCAGCCGCCGCAGUAA
This 449-nucleotide ribosomal RNA is filed under the name uncultured bacterium. Its description in RNAcentral is "partial 16S ribosomal RNA". It matches the Rfam family "Bacterial small subunit ribosomal RNA", at positions 29 to 523 of the family's 1533-position model. The record is from RNAcentral.